GGGUAACCUCAGAUCAGGUAGGGAUACCCGCUGAACUUAAGCAUAUCAAUAAGCG
This 55-nucleotide ribosomal RNA is filed under the name Peziza varia. RNAcentral describes it as "partial 28S ribosomal RNA". The record is from RNAcentral. Lineage: Eukaryota; Fungi; Ascomycota; Pezizomycetes; Pezizales; Pezizaceae.